GGGGGUGACCUGGCUUCGACGUGGGUCGCGAAACCUUCGGGGCAUGCCGAGGUGCAGAGUUCCUCGCAAAUCCAACUGCAUUUUAUAGUUGCCAACGACGACAACUACGCCCUAGCAGCUUAAUCCCUGCUAGCCUCUCACCCGGUUUUUCUAUGGGUUGGGAUUCGAGGGGUCGACUCACAUAGAAUCGCGAAAGGGUGCGUCCGUUACCUGAUCGUUAAAACUCAAGCGGGCUCGCCGUCUGUUUCGCCUGUCUGUUGGCGUGCAGCCGGUCAAACUAAAGACAGACUAAGCAUGUAGAACCGGAUGGCAGAGGGCUUGCGGACGCGGGUUCGACUCCCGCCACCUCCACCA
RNAcentral lists this transfer-messenger RNA (354 nucleotides) under Arenicellales. RNAcentral's name for it is "HyVt-429 sp013152415 Standard tmRNA". It matches the Rfam family "transfer-messenger RNA". Rfam says of the family: Bacterial tmRNA, also known as 10Sa RNA or SsrA, is named for its dual tRNA and mRNA-like properties. RNAcentral also lists the same sequence under 1 other name. The record is from RNAcentral. Lineage: Bacteria; Pseudomonadati; Pseudomonadota; Gammaproteobacteria.